UAUAUGCAUUAGUUAAAGCUGACAUGUUAUACGUUUUGUGACUUCUUGUGUUAAAACGAUUAACCUGCGAUUAAGUAAUGGAAAUCAAGUAAAGUGUAAAUAAGCGAACUAUGACUAUGGCAUCUGUAUACUAUUGUCACUUUGGUUAUGUGUGCAGCCGUCGCCGAGCAAGCUCAACCAGAGUGCUCCGUUAAUUGCACACACUGCACAGCAAGCAAGUUCGAAAGCUGCAUGGAUGGAUUCUAUCCAUAUUUUAGUAACUGUUUAACAUGUAGUAGCCAAAACUGCAAAAGAUGUGAUACAAGUGGUUUGUGCACGUCGUGCAAGACAGAAUUCUACGGUGCAUCUUGUUCUAACCAAUGUGGAUCUGGGUGCAUCAAUGGUGCAUGUGGUUUUGACACAGGUGCAUGCCCGUGUUUGGACGGCUUUAAUUUAUGGUCUUGCAGACAAGCUUGCUCGGAUAAGUGUCAAGAUGUGUGUGAUAAAACGAGUGCUGUGUGCCGGUGUCAACCUGGAUUCUGCACAAAUUCGUGUAACUAAAACUGUUGGAGUCAAUGUGCUGAAUGUACCAACUCAACGUCAUGCUCUGUGUGCCCAGUCGGAAAAUAUGGACCAACAUGCAAUAUGAAUUGUAGUACAAUCUGCAGCGAUGGAUCGUGUGACAUUCAUACCGGUCAAUGUACGAAAACAUGCCCUGUCAACUGCCAGUAUUGUGACGAAGAAAAUGUUUGCACGGGUUGUGUCAACGGAUAUUUUGGAACAGAUUGUGAAAAGUCGUGUCCACUUAAUUGUGAAUCAGGUUUUUACUUGAACACAGGCUUUUGUCACAGUUGCAGAAUGAAUUGGUAUGGGAAUGAGUGCAACAUGAGUUGCACCGUGACCUGUAGCAACGGAUGCGAACAGGGGUCUGGAAAAUGUAAUAAAUGUUCUUUUGGUUAUUAUGGUGAAAUGUGUAACUUGACAUGUUCGAAAUGUAAAAAUAAUGUGUCAGAAAAAACGGUUUGUGCAAUGAAUGUGACCCUGGUCAUUAUGGGCCUUUUUGUGAACACACAUGUCCUCCACAUUGUCUAGGUAAUGUUUGUAAUCGAACAAAUGGUCAUUGCUACGACUGUGUACAAGGAUACACUGGUGUGAUGUGUAAUGAUAGCACAUGUCCUGCUCACUGUUUAAGUUGUGUCGGCCAGCAAUGCAAUGUUUGCCGUAGCGGUUUCUAUGGUGAGCUAUGUCGAUUAAUAUGUAGCACAAACUGUUCUCCAGACGGUUGCAACUUCAUAACUGGUACGUGCUUAUCAUGCAACACAUUAGGUUGGUAUGGCCCAACGUGUAAUGAAACAUGUAGUUUCACCUGUCUCAAUAACGUGUGUGACUGCAACACUGGGGAAUGUAAAAAUGCGUGUUCGAUACACUGCGCAAGGAUCGGAGAAGGUCAGACAUGCUUGAGGAAUGGAACAUGUACCAACGGAUGUGUGCAGAAUUAUUUCGGUUCCACGUGCGAUACAGGAACCUCUUUUGAGAACAAUGAUGGAUCACCGAUUCCAGUCAUCGCAGGCUCAGUAGGCGGAGUGGUGGUGGUUCUUAUUGUCAUCGGUGUGGCCAUAGUAAUCUUGAGACAGAGAACGAGAAGACAACCCACAGAUGCGAAUGAAUAUUAUAAUAUGCCGCCUUUCUGAAGUGGUAAACAGAAUACGAAUGCCAACAAACCACAAACAAAUACUGAGUCAAACUACAUCACUUUGGGUAAUAACCAGGAAGAAAACCAUAUAUAUUCCAGCCUCAACAGAAGCUAAAUGUGAAUAUUGGUUUACCAAUAUCGAUAACUGUAAAUUAAAGUGACUGCCACAUUGUGAAACUGACACAGUUAGCAGUUACCUUUCGAAACCACUUUGCCUUAUAAGACAAGGGGUAUGUAUGGCCUUCCCAAAACUGAAAGACUGCGCAGACAAUUGACGUCAAUGUAUUGUUUAACAGGCCCUCUGAUCUUUGCGAGAAGUACGUCUAUGAAUCCUAAACUAGCAUUUCCUUCUUGUUGCUUAUUUAUUCGGACACUUCUCACUUCCAGAUUGAUUGUAUUUGAAGUCGAAAACGUGAAUGUGUUAUUAACUGCUACUAGAUUAGAGUCUAUAUAUAUGAAGGCAUUCACAUGUUUUCAGAUAUAUGUUGCAGAUUAUAAGAUUCAAUACACAUAUAAGGACUAUUUCUAUUAAUAUCGACAGAGAUGGCAUUAAUGAUAGUUUUGCAUAAUUAGUAAACAUAUGACAGUUUGUAUAAUGCUAUGACUGUACUGUGCACAUAGUCAAAUUCGUAGUUUGUUUAUUCACUUCAUGUUUUUACCAAUUAUAAUAAUCUGUUUAAAUAUAUACCAAUGGUAUCAACAUGGAAUUUAUAUAUAUAUAUAGAUAUCAUUCAAUAACAAGUUCAUGUCUCCCGACAACAACAAUAUUUUGAAAUUUCUGACGCAACAAUUGAAAAUUUCUUUAAACCAGUCUGAAAACUAUGAGUGCAUUCCGAAGGAAUUAUUUUGGAACAAAAUAUCAAUUAUAACGCCUGAUUUGUGAUGUGCAUACCUUUUUGUUAGACGAGUGAAAGACGAUCGUAAAAUAUACAUACACUUUAAUUUGUGUUACAAUGUGACUUUUGAAUAUGGAUGCAUGCAACGAACAUUUCAUACUUUAUUUUCCGAUGUAUGUAACUAUCAUGAUUGUCUUUGGUAGACCCUGUCAGUAUAUACAGUGUUUUGAAACGUGGCUUUUACAUGCAUCGAUUCAUAAAUAUGUUUACAAGUAUAAAUACGCCAAUAUAUAAUAAACAUUAUUAAUAAUAACUGGAGUGAUAAAGUACUUUUCAUUAAAUCAUUAUUUUCAUAAUUAACAAAUGAUCAAAAUGUUUGUUUAACGACACACCUUCUAAUUUCGUAAUUAUACGUCUGAAUCUACUUUCCCUUUAAGCGUGCUCCAACUUAAACUUCCUGCUUCAUUGCUUUAUGAUCUCAAGUCAGUACACAAAGAUUUAAUAUUC
Molecule: long non-coding RNA, 3015 nt
Organism: Dreissena polymorpha
Lineage: Eukaryota; Metazoa; Mollusca; Bivalvia; Myida; Dreissenidae
Exons: 4
Source: RefSeq, a predicted model, not a curated record